GACGAACGCUGGCGGCGUGCUUAACACAUGCAAGUCGAACGGAAAGGCCCGGCUUUUGUGGGGUGCUCGAUUGGCGAACGGGGGAGUAACACGCGAGUAACCUGCCCUUGACUUUGGGAUAACUUCAGGAGACUGGGGAUCAUACCGGAUAGGAGCUCCUGCUGCAUGGUGGGGGUUGGAAAGUUUCGGCGGUGGGGGAUGGUCUCGCGGCUUAUCAGCUUGUUGGUGGGGUAGUGGCUUACCAGGGCUUUGACGGGUAGCCGGCCUGAGAGGGUGACCGGCCACAUUGGGACUGCGGUACGGCCCAGACGCCUACGGGCGGCAGCAGUGGGAAGUAUUGCACAAUGGGCGGACGCGUGAUGCAACGGCCCCGCGUGCGGGAUGACGGCCUUCGGGUUAUAAACAGAUUUGGCCUGUGACGAAGCGUGAGUGACGGUAAUGGGUAAAGAAGCACCGGCUAACUACGUG
RNAcentral lists this ribosomal RNA (468 nucleotides) under uncultured bacterium. Its description in RNAcentral is "partial 16S ribosomal RNA". It matches the Rfam family "Bacterial small subunit ribosomal RNA", at positions 28 to 507 of the family's 1533-position model. The record is from RNAcentral.